AGCCCAGCACCGAAUCCCGCGAUCGAAAUGGUUGUCGGGAAAUGUGGUGUUCGGGAGGAUCCGAUUAUCUCGCGACCUUACGACGCGUCCAAGUCCAUCUUGAACGGGGCUACAGUCCAUAGAGGGUGCCAGGCCCGUAGCGAUCGUCGUUAGUUGCGAGAGGAUCUCUCCUUAGAGUCGGGUUGCUUGAGAGUGCAGCCCUAAGCGGGUGGUAAACUCCAUCUAAGGCUAAAUAUAACCACGAGACCGAUAGCGAACAAGUACCGUGAGGGAAAGUUGAAAAGCACUUUGAAGAGAGAGUUCAAGAGUACGUGAAACCGUUUAGGGGUAAACCUGAGAAACCCGAAAGGUCGAAGGGAGAAAUUCAUUCGCGUUUCGUCGUAGACGUGCGGCGUUCGAGCGACGGAGGCGGUGUUCGCGCAUCGCUUUCGCGCCUUUCGCCUCUUACGAUUCGACGGCGAACGCGUGCACUUUUCUCCUGGUAGGACGUCGCGAUCCGUUGAGUGUCGGUCUAAGGUUGCGACUAACGGUGGAGCCCGUGAGUACGGUUCGCGCCGUUUUACUCACGGACCCGUUUAUACCCGGCCGACUCGCUCGACGGUAUGCGAACGGUUUAAAGCCGCUCUCUCUUCUCGAGAGCGUUCGACUCGUCGCAAGCGCGUCAGAUGCACGUUGGCGAUCGGACCUAGUGCCGGUUCCGACCUCUGACGGCUGUUGGCGACGAUGUUCUCGAACAGACUUUUAACCGAUCCGCGACGCUAUAGCUUUGGGUACUUUCAGGACCCGUCUUGAAACACGGACCAAGGAGUCUAGCAUGUGCGCGAGUCAUUGGGAACUAAUAAACCUAAAGGCGCAAUGAAAGUGAAAGUUCGUCUCGCACGAACCUAGGGAAGAUGAGCGGUUGACCCUUAAAAGUAGCCGCUCCGCAUUCCCGGGGCGUCUCGUUCUCAUCGCGAGAAGAGGCGCACCAAGAGCGUACACGCUGGGACCCGAAAGA
Molecule: ribosomal RNA, 997 nt
Filed under: Cryptoderma formosense
Lineage: Eukaryota; Metazoa; Arthropoda; Insecta; Coleoptera; Curculionidae
Description: partial large subunit ribosomal RNA
Rfam family: Eukaryotic large subunit ribosomal RNA
Source: RNAcentral